GUCUCUGGCCGUCCGAGUUGUAAUCUAGAGAAGUAAUGCCCGCGCUGGACCGUGUACAAGUCUCCUGGGAUGGAGCGUCAUAGAGGGUGAGAAUCCCGUCUCUGACACGGACUACCAGGGCUUUGUGGUAUGCUCUCAAAGAGUCGAGUUGUUUGGGAAUGCAGCUCAAAAUGGGUGGUAAAUUCCAUCUAAAGCUAAAUAUUGGCGAGAGACCGAUAGCGAACAAGUACCGUGAGGGAAAGAUGAAAAGAACUUUGGAAAGAGAGUUAAACAGUACGUGAAAUUGCUGAAAGGGAAACGCUUGAAGUCAGUCGCGUUGGCCAGGGAUCAGCCUCACUCUUGUGUGGUGUACUUUCUGGUUGACGGGUCAGCAUCAAUUUUGACCGCUGGAAAAAGGCCUGGGGAAUGUGGCAGCUUCGGCUGUGUUAUAGCCCCUAGUCACAUAUAGCGGUUGGGAUUGAGGAACUCAGCACGCCGCAAGGCCGGGUUUCGACCACGUUCGUGCUUAGGAUGCUGGCAUAAUGGCUUUAAGCGACCCGUCUUGAAACACGGACCAAGGAGUCUAACAUGCCUGCGAGUAUUUGGGUGGAAAACCCGAGUGCGUAAUGAAAGUGAAAGUUGAGAUCCCUGUCGUGGGGAGCAUCGACGCCCGGACCAGAACUUUUGGGACGGAUCCGCGGUAGAGCAUGUAUGUUGGGACCCGAAAGAUGGUGAACUAUGCCUGAAUAGGGUGAAGCCAGAGGAAACUCUGGUGGAGGCUCGUAGCGAUUCUGACGUGCAAAUCGAUCGUCAAAUUUGGGUAUAGGGGCGAAAGACUAAUCGAACCAUCUAGUAGCUGGUUCCUGCCGAA
Molecule: ribosomal RNA, 850 nt
Filed under: Chlorophyllum agaricoides
Lineage: Eukaryota; Fungi; Basidiomycota; Agaricomycetes; Agaricales; Agaricaceae
Description: eukaryotic LSU rRNA
Rfam family: Eukaryotic large subunit ribosomal RNA
Source: RNAcentral